This 427-nucleotide ribosomal RNA is filed under the name uncultured Comamonadaceae bacterium. RNAcentral's name for it is "bacterial SSU rRNA". It matches the Rfam family "Bacterial small subunit ribosomal RNA", at positions 355 to 774 of the family's 1533-position model. The record is from RNAcentral. Lineage: Bacteria; Pseudomonadati; Pseudomonadota; Betaproteobacteria; Burkholderiales; Comamonadaceae.
UGGGGAAUUUUGGACAAUGGGCGAAAGCCUGAUCCAGCAAUGCCGCGUGCAGGAAGAAGGCCUUCGGGUUGUAAACUGCUUUUGUACGGAACGAAACGCCUCGCUUUAAUACAGUGGGGUAAUGACGGUACCGUAAGAAUAAGCACCGGCUAACUACGUGCCAGCAGCCGCGGUAAUACGUAGGGUGCGAGCGUUAAUCGGAAUUACUGGGCGUAAAGCGUGCGCAGGCGGUUAUAUAAGACAGUUGUGAAAUCCCCGGGCUCAACCUGGGAAUUGCAUCUGUGACUGUAUAGCUAGAGUACGGUAGAGGGGGAUGGAAUUCCGCGUGUAGCAGUGAAAUGCGUAGAUAUGCGGAGGAACACCGAUGGCGAAGGCAAUCCCCUGGACCUGUACUGACGCUCAUGCACGAAAGCGUGGGGAGCAAACA